Molecule: long non-coding RNA, 846 nt
Filed under: Prunus persica (peach)
Lineage: Eukaryota; Viridiplantae; Streptophyta; Magnoliopsida; Rosales; Rosaceae
Description: long non-coding RNA (PPER_LNC003544)
Source: RNAcentral
CUAGGGAGAUUUUGGGGAUAAAAAUAAAAUCAAACAUAUAUAAAUUUAACAGGGAAAAACUUUAAAUUUAAGUAGAGGCUUUUACAUUUCUCAUUCCCAUUCCCACGGCGGUCAGAACCCUUAAAAUCCUCUUUGGAGAGGUAUCUCGACAUGUUCACGUCCAGCUUCAUUCUCUCUUGCUUUCUCUGCUUAUUUUAUGCUCGGGAUUCUCAGUUUUUCAAUAUGUAAACUUUAAUGGAGCAGCAAAUGCAGUCAAGAAGAGGAGGCAGUCGUAUCUGUUACAGUGGUGCAAAUGCAGUCUCAUAAGAGGAAAAAAAAAGACUUGUGUCUCAGUAAGUGAGAGAGAGAAAGGAAGAACAUAAAAUCUCAUAGAAGGAGAGAGGAGGAAGAAGAGACACGAGCCAUGGAGGAGAGAGAGACAGGAGCUGCCGUUUAUUUUCAAAUGGAAAACCUGGAUGUGGAUUUGAUUGGCUUGGGUUUGGCAGUGCGAAGAAGAUGCUAGGGGCCUCAAGAGACAGGCGCCGACUGAAGAGUGUAUUAGUCGACCAGAGAGAGUGAGUGAGUGAGAGGGGUGCGGCGCAGUUUAGGAGGAAUUAAGAGAGGGUAUAAUGCCUUAGAUUUAUUAUCCAAGUAUAACACAAGGUGGUGUCUUGGUGGUUUGGUGGUUAGUUGCUGGGUAUUGAAGAGAGGGGUCAGGAGGGUAUCGAAACAUCCUUCCGCCUUCCUCGAUUUUAUAUAAUUUUUAAUUUGUUUUAUUUUAUCUUACUGAACAUAUAUGCUCUAAUAAAUAAUUUAUUAUUAUUGUUUAUUAGAAAUGUUGCCAACCGACACAAAAGCAUUGUGGAG